Lactuca sativa (garden lettuce) is the source of this 107-nucleotide small nucleolar RNA. Lineage: Eukaryota; Viridiplantae; Streptophyta; Magnoliopsida; Asterales; Asteraceae. The record is from RefSeq and is a predicted model, not a curated record.
AAAUCAUUUUGGGGACAAUUCCUUAUCAAUCCUUUGUAGCGUUCCCAUGCCUCAUAGAUUGACUCCCUCGGUUGUUGCUCGAAAUUUGCUAUUGCUUUCUUGAGUUU